This 71-nucleotide transfer RNA is filed under the name Marmota monax (woodchuck). RNAcentral's name for it is "tRNA.Leu". The record is from RNAcentral. Lineage: Eukaryota; Metazoa; Chordata; Mammalia; Rodentia; Sciuridae.
GGGGUUGUUGCUCAGUGAUAGAGUGCUCGUCUCAAAUGUGUGAGAUUCUGGGUUUGAUCCUCAGCACCACA